CCACCGCUCAAUGAAGUCUUCCGCAUUCAUCACCUUUCAAACGGAAAUAAAACUUUAACCAAAAGAGCAUGGGCAGAUAUUUCCCGGAUCUGAACAGGAAUAGCUGGUGUCUGGACUCUAUGAAGAAUCUUCAUGUGCAGUGAUAGAAGAAUAAACACAUUUGAACCAAGUUCACCAUGGAGAGAGUGAGUGGGUUGGGGAAAAGGUGUUGUAUGUUUGAGGAGCGAGGAGAAGGUGUCAAAUAAUCAUCCAGGCAGACUUUUGUAGUGCACAGUGACCGGUGACCAGCAGCAUGUGUUUCCAUAGGCAUCUUCUCUCAGUACCCCAGAAGGUGAAUUGCCAGUGAGUCCUGCCAGGAUGCCCCUCGGUGACUGCACCACCCAGUAAAAAGACAUCCCUUAACUAUGGCAAAACAACAACAACAACGACGACAAAAAACAAAACAAAACAAAACAAAACCCUGCAUCAAUUUGAUAAAUAAUCCUCCCCGUUGA
RNAcentral lists this long non-coding RNA (494 nucleotides) under Homo sapiens (human). RNAcentral describes it as "long independently transcribed non-coding RNA 1291 (LINC01291)". Lineage: Eukaryota; Metazoa; Chordata; Mammalia; Primates; Hominidae. The record is from RNAcentral.